RNAcentral lists this ribosomal RNA (713 nucleotides) under Klebsiella pneumoniae. RNAcentral's name for it is "partial 23S ribosomal RNA". It matches the Rfam family "Bacterial large subunit ribosomal RNA", at positions 812 to 1527 of the family's 2925-position model. Lineage: Bacteria; Pseudomonadati; Pseudomonadota; Gammaproteobacteria; Enterobacterales; Enterobacteriaceae. The record is from RNAcentral.
UGGCUGGGGGUGAAAGGCCAAUCAAACCGGGAGAUAGCUGGUUCUCCCCGAAAGCUAUUUAGGUAGCGCCUCGUGAAUUCAUCUUCGGGGGUAGAGCACUGUUUCGGCUAGGGGGUCAUCCCGACUUACCAACCCGAUGCAAACUACGAAUACCGAAGAAUGUUAUCACGGGAGACACACGGCGGGUGCUAACGUCCGUCGUGAAGAGGGAAACAACCCAGACCGCCAGCUAAGGUCCCAAAGUCAUGGUUAAGUGGGAAACGAUGUGGGAAGGCACAGACAGCCAGGAUGUUGGCUUAGAAGCAGCCAUCAUUUAAAGAAAGCGUAAUAGCUCACUGGUCGAGUCGGCCUGCGCGGAAGAUGUAACGGGGCUAAACCAUGCACCGAAGCUGCGGCAGCGACACUAUGUGUUGUUGGGUAGGGGAGCGUUCUGUAAGCCUGCGAAGGUGUGCUGUGAGGCAUGCUGGAGGUAUCAGAAGUGCGAAUGCUGACAUAAGUAACGAUAAAGCGGGUGAAAAGCCCGCUCGCCGGAAGACCAAGGGUUCCUGUCCAACGUUAAUCGGGGCAGGGUGAGUCGACCCCUAAGGCGAGGCCGAAAGGCGUAGUCGAUGGGAAACAGGUUAAUAUUCCUGUACUUGGUGUUACUGCGAAGGGGGGACGGAGAAGGCUAUGUUAGCCGGGCGACGGUUGUCCCGGUUUAAGCAUGUAGGCUG